AUGUCCACGCAAAUGUGAAGAGAGUGAAAGCUUGUUUAAUUGCUUUGUUGUCACCUCUUUCCAUUCCUCCUCAUUAACCGACUGUGAUGCUGUAGGAGGUGGUGGAACAAAAGGAUCCCAGAAAUCCUAGCUUGAUGAUUGAGGCGGUGGAGGUGGCAGCGAUGGCAGAAGAGGAGGAGCUGAUAUCGAUGUCCAUGUGUCGGAGCUAGGACUCAUUGGUUGGGGAGGAGGUGGAGGUGUGAGAGGUAAAAGUGAAGGUGAUAUUAAAACAGGUUGUGUAUCGAUCAAGUGGUAUCUUUGAAGGAGAAGGGGAAAAGGCAGAUGGCAAAUGAACAAAUAGAGGCAAACCCUUGUGUCCAUUGACAUGACAAGACAAAUUACCAAAUAAUUCAUUGAAUAAUACAAUAAUCCAUGAUGAGCUUAUGGACAUUUCCCAUCUAGUAUAUUAUGCUCUCUCACUGUUUUAGGAAUUGCUUGUGGUCUUCUUAUUUCUGAGAAGCCUAAUAACACCACAGAUGCACUCUCUUGUCAUUUGUCCUUCUGGCUCUUCUUUUAUCUAGGAAAACAAUGUUUCUUUACUAAGAGCUAGUAGUUUCAUUUUGCUGUCCCUUUCUGCAUAUUUCUAAUGCUCAGAAGUAACAAGUCGUUUUCUGCACUGAUGACUAUAUAUACACACAAAUGUGUGUAUAUUUGCCUAA
Molecule: long non-coding RNA, 698 nt
Organism: Jatropha curcas
Lineage: Eukaryota; Viridiplantae; Streptophyta; Magnoliopsida; Malpighiales; Euphorbiaceae
Source: RefSeq, a predicted model, not a curated record